ACGCUGGCGGCGUGCUUAACACAUGCAAGUCGAACGGAAAGGCCCUGCUUUUGUGGGGUGCUCGAGUGGCGAACGGGUGAGCAACACGUGAGUAACCUGCCCUUGACUUUGGGAUAACUUCAGGAAACUGGGGCUAAUACCGGAUAGGAGCUCCUGCUGCAUGGUGGGGGUUGGAAAGUUUCGGCGGUUGGGGAUGGACUCGCGGCUUAUCAGCUUGUUGGUGGGGUAGUGGCUUACCAAGGCUUUGACGGGUAGCCGGCCUGAGAGGGUGACCGGCCACAUUGGGACUGAGAUACGGCCCAGACUCCUACGGGAGGCAGCAGUGGGGAAUAUUGCACAAUGGGCGGAAGCCUGAUGCAGCAACGCCGCGUGCGGGAUGACGGCCUUCGGGUUGUAAACCGCUUUCGCCUGUGACGAAGCGUGAGUGACGGUAAUGGGUAAAGAGGCACCGGCUAACUACGUG
Molecule: ribosomal RNA, 463 nt
Filed under: uncultured bacterium
Lineage: Bacteria
Description: bacterial SSU rRNA
Rfam family: Bacterial small subunit ribosomal RNA
Source: RNAcentral